Molecule: ribosomal RNA, 572 nt
Filed under: uncultured bacterium
Lineage: Bacteria
Description: bacterial SSU rRNA
Rfam family: Bacterial small subunit ribosomal RNA
Source: RNAcentral
GUUUGAUCCUGGCUCAGUAAACUCAAAUGAAUUGACGGGGCUAGAGUUUGAUCCUGGCUCAGGAUGAACGCUAGCGGCAGGCCUAACACAUGCAAGUCGAGGGGUAACAUUGUAGCUUGCUACAGAUGACGACCGGCGCACGGGUGCGUAACGCGUAUACAAUCUACCUUUUGCUGAGGGAUAGCCCAGNGAAAUUUGGAUUAAUACCUCAUAGUAUGUUGACCUCGCAUGAGGACAAUAUUAAAGGUUACGGCAAAAGAUGAGUAUGCGUUCUAUUAGCUAGAUGGUGUGGUAACGGCACGCCAUGGCGACGAUAGAUAGGGGCCCUGAGAGGGGGAUCCCCCACACUGGUACUGAGACACGGACCAGACUCCUACGGGAGGCAGCAGUGAGGAAUAUUGGACAAUGGAGGCAACUCUGAUCCAGCCAUGCCGCGUGCAGGAAGACUGCCCUAUGGGUUGUAAACUGCUUUUAUACAGGAAGAAACACUCUCACGUGUGAGAGCUUGACGGUACUGUAAGAAUAAGGAUCGGCUAACUCCGUGCCAGCAGCCGCGGUAAUAAGGGCGAAUU